AAUUAGGCUAAAGGUGAGUUUUGUUGAAACUUCCGGGAAGAAAAUUUGCUACCUCGUUACGAGUGGACGGUUUUACGGAAGUCAAAUAAUUAAUAAAUAAAUAUAAAUAUACGCAAUUAAAUCCGUAAAUCGAUUAUAAAAUCAUCUAACAUUCCAUAAAUCGAUAUGAACAUAACCAAAUAAACUAUAUUUUCUCCUGAGCAUAUAGAAAUUGAAAUCUCGCGAAUACGAACACAUACGAGCAUUCAGCUCAAUAAACUAGAUAACACAAAAUUCACAAAAAUUCAUAUAUUA
Molecule: long non-coding RNA, 294 nt
Filed under: Daucus carota (carrot)
Lineage: Eukaryota; Viridiplantae; Streptophyta; Magnoliopsida; Apiales; Apiaceae
Description: long non-coding RNA (DCAR_LNC002337)
Source: RNAcentral